AGUUGGAGCUAAUAAAGGGACUCCGACUGAUUAACUGCGUGGCCUUUGUGCCACGCCCCGAAUCAUCACAGCUGCUUUUUUAUGUGUCACCCUGUGGCAAACCAUAGGGGUCAAAAGGCUUGCCACAGGAUGGCACGUCCCGUGGCUCUCUUCCUGUGUCAAAGACCAAUGCAUUGAGGAUCCAUCCUCUAUUCACACUCGAUCAAAUCAUAGAAGAACAGCUGCACAAUUAAGAUGAGCAUCGGCCCAAAAAACAAAACAAAAAUGUUCUCCAGUGAUCGUUGGGUAGAAAAUGUGACUUGUGCAGAAAAAAAAACCAAAAUAAAAAAAAAAAUCAGAAAUCGGCUCUUCAGCGUAGGUACAACUUAUCAGUAGUCAGAUCAGCUAGCAACACUCCGCACAUCACGCUAAGACUGAAAGAACAGCAGCUUCCUUUUGUGUAGUUUUGAGACUCUCUGGGUUUACGCGGUUUGGAUGCAUUCUGCAAAACCGAAAAUGAAUUUGUUCAGCAAUGGUGUUAAAAGAUGUGCAGAAGUGAUUUCAUGAUGGG
This is a non-coding RNA of Notechis scutatus (mainland tiger snake), 550 nucleotides long. The record is from RefSeq and is a predicted model, not a curated record. NCBI's taxonomy places the organism in Eukaryota, Metazoa, Chordata, Lepidosauria, Squamata, Elapidae.